CAAUCUCAGCCGCUCUUUAAUCAGGAAACCCUUCAGCAUCGUCUCCAGGCCUUGAUUGAGGGGGCCAGGGAGAGCUGGACCUACGCCAUCUUCUGGCAAUCGUCGUACGAUUACUCCGGUGUUUCGGUGUUGGGGUGGGGUGAUGGGUACUAUAAAGGAGAGGAGGAUAAGGGUAAAGGCAUAUCUAAGGGUCCUAGCUCCUCAGCUGCAGACCAAGAACACCGAAAGAAGGUGCUCCGUGAGCUCAAUUCGCUGAUCUCAGGUUCCACCACAGUCACCGACGAUGCCAUUGAUGAAGAAGUCACUGAUACCGAGUGGUUCUUUCUCGUCUCCAUGACUCAGUCGUUUGUUAAUGGAAGUGGGUUGCCGGGUCAAGCUUUUUUCAAUGGGAGUCCGGUCUGGGUUACUGGACCUGACCGGCUUUCUGCAUCACCGUGUGAGCGCGCCAGGCAGGGCCAAGU
Molecule: unclassified non-coding RNA, 461 nt
Filed under: Hevea brasiliensis (rubber tree)
Lineage: Eukaryota; Viridiplantae; Streptophyta; Magnoliopsida; Malpighiales; Euphorbiaceae
Source: RNAcentral